Phyllostomus discolor (pale spear-nosed bat) is the source of this 276-nucleotide long non-coding RNA. RefSeq lists it as uncharacterized. NCBI's taxonomy places the organism in Eukaryota, Metazoa, Chordata, Mammalia, Chiroptera, Phyllostomidae. The record is from RefSeq and is a predicted model, not a curated record. The transcript is spliced from 3 exons.
UUUGUGGUAGCAUACAAAUUUUAGGGUUGUUUUUCUAUUUUUGUAAAAAAUUCUAUUGGAAUUUUGAUAAAGAGUGCUUUGAAUCUGUAGAUUUCUUGGGAAUUUUUAACAAUAUCAAUGAUUCUAAUGCAUGAACAUAGAACAUCUUUCUACUUCUUUGUAUCUUUUUCAAUUUCUUUCAUCAAUGUCUUGUAAUUCUCAAUGUACAGAUCUUUCACGUCUUAGGUUAAAUUUAUUCCUAAGUAUUUUAUUCUUUUUGAUUCUGUGUAAAUGGAA